UACGAGAGGCCCAAACGUUGUUCGGAAUUACUGGGCGUAAAGCGUGCGCAGGCGGCUUCUCAAGUCAGGGGUGAAAGCCCAGAGCUCAACUCUGGAAUUGCCUUUGAGACUGAGUGGCUUGAGUACGAGAGAGGUGAGUGGAAUUCCCAGUGUAGAGGUGAAAUUCGUAGAUAUUGGGAAGAACACCGGUGGCGAAGGCGGCUCACUGGCUCGUAACUGACGCUCAUGCACGACAGCGUGGGGAUCAAACAGG
This 253-nucleotide ribosomal RNA is filed under the name uncultured bacterium. Its description in RNAcentral is "partial 16S ribosomal RNA". It matches the Rfam family "Bacterial small subunit ribosomal RNA", at positions 524 to 776 of the family's 1533-position model. The record is from RNAcentral.